AAACUGUGGCCCAUAGUACUCU
Molecule: microRNA, 22 nt
Filed under: Ananas comosus (pineapple)
Lineage: Eukaryota; Viridiplantae; Streptophyta; Magnoliopsida; Poales; Bromeliaceae
Description: microRNA s0385_c40a
Source: RNAcentral